Molecule: non-coding RNA, 232 nt
Organism: Meleagris gallopavo (turkey)
Lineage: Eukaryota; Metazoa; Chordata; Aves; Galliformes; Phasianidae
Source: RefSeq, a predicted model, not a curated record
GUCUUCUCCGCCUACAAAUCAGUAUGAGAAAUCCAGUUAGUCAGAACUUUUCCAUUAUUUUGCAGUAUUUAGUGCUCAAGCCAAAGUCUCCUUGGAGGGCUUUGAAAUUACUACAGCCAAGAGCAGGGGAGCACAGAAGGACAGUGCAGCUGAGCAGCAGAACAGAGCGCAGGUGGGUUCUGUUGCUCCCAGCACCCGACACAGACAGAGAGGAUGGAGCACAUGUGCUUCC